This 71-nucleotide non-coding RNA is filed under the name Sus scrofa (pig). Lineage: Eukaryota; Metazoa; Chordata; Mammalia; Artiodactyla; Suidae. The record is from RNAcentral.
UGGCGAGAGCGUGGCAAGCGGCGGCGGCCCGCGUCUGCCUGUCCGCCCGCCCUGCUCGCUCUCUCGCCUCC